UUCACCGGCUCAAAGUCCAUUCGGUUGUUCCUUAACUGUUGUGUUUGAAAUUAAGAAUUGGACAAAAUGCCUUAUAUUCUUGUUCGAUCCAACUUCGACGUUGCACAAGAAUUCGACGCCAAGCUUUCCAAGCUCAUGUCGGAACUGACGAAAAUGCACGAGGGGUACAUCCUUUCCCAAGUUCGCGUCAACAAACGCAUGCUCCUUGGGGGGCUCGGCUGAUAAGUGUGUGUACAGUGACGUACGUUUGGCAGAUGUUCUGCUGAGUAACGAGAAAGACAAGGAAAGAUACUACAGGGAGAUCCACAACUUCCUCGUUGGAGAGCUUGGUGUGGAGCCUGCAAGGUGCACCAUGUCUAUGAUAUCGGUCCCCCUUGACGUCGGGAGCGUUGGAGGGGUGCCAGUGUCGCAGUGGGUCCCUCCGACUGACUGGUACGGUGGAUACUGAGACCGUCUGGGCCUCAAGAGGAUCUGUACACAUUCCAAUCACAAGAAUACCAAACGAGGCCAUUAACGGUCACUUCAUAAAGAAGCUUUCGUAAAAUUCAUUCAUGUCAAUCAUCUCUCCAAAACUUCCAAAGCGGUGAGCCCAUAGCAUUUCACCAGCGCUACACUGCGGCGUAGUCACC
Molecule: long non-coding RNA, 629 nt
Organism: Branchiostoma floridae (Florida lancelet)
Lineage: Eukaryota; Metazoa; Chordata; Leptocardii; Amphioxiformes; Branchiostomatidae
Exons: 3
Source: RefSeq, a predicted model, not a curated record